GAACUGAAGAGUUUGAUCCUGGCUCAGAUUGAACGCUGGCGGCAUGCCUAACACAUGCAAGUCGAACGGAAACGAUGGAAGCUUGCUUCCAGGCGUCGAGUGGCGGAC
This 108-nucleotide ribosomal RNA is filed under the name Gammaproteobacteria bacterium. RNAcentral's name for it is "partial 16S ribosomal RNA". It matches the Rfam family "Bacterial small subunit ribosomal RNA", at positions 1 to 103 of the family's 1533-position model. The record is from RNAcentral. Lineage: Bacteria; Pseudomonadati; Pseudomonadota; Gammaproteobacteria.